GAUCAUGGCUCAGGAUGAACGCUAGCUACAGGCUUAACACAUGCAAGUCGAGGGGCAUCAUGACUGAGGUUUACCUUAGUUGAUGGCGACCGGCGAAUGGGUGAGUAACACGUAUCCAACCUGCCCGUUACUGGAGGAUAGCCCUCCGAAAGGCGGAUUAAUACCGUAUGAGGUCACAUGCGGGCAUCUAAGUGUGACGAAAGGUUUAGCGGACAAGGAUGGGGAUGCGUCCGAUUAGCUUGACGGCGGGGUAACGGCCCACCGUGGCUACGAUCGGUAGGGGUUCUGAGAGGAAGGUCCCCCACAUUGGAACUGAGACACGGUCCAAACUCCUACGGGAGGCAGCAGUGAGGAAUAUUGGUCAAUGGACGGGAGUCUGAACCAGCCAAGUAGCGUGCAGGAUGACGGCCCUAUGGGUUGUAAACUGUCUUUUGUGCGGGGAUAAAGUGUGGGACGUGUCCCAUAUUGCAGGUACCGCAUGAAUAAGGACCGGCUAAUUCCGUG
Molecule: ribosomal RNA, 504 nt
Filed under: uncultured bacterium
Lineage: Bacteria
Description: bacterial SSU rRNA
Rfam family: Bacterial small subunit ribosomal RNA
Source: RNAcentral